Dyella jiangningensis is the source of this 353-nucleotide non-coding RNA. Lineage: Bacteria; Pseudomonadati; Pseudomonadota; Gammaproteobacteria; Lysobacterales; Rhodanobacteraceae. The record is from Rfam.
GGGGGUGUCAUGGCUUCGACGGGGGUAGUGAGAUGGCUUGGUGCAUGCCGAGGGGGCAGCUUUCCUCGUUAAUCCAGCGGCAAAACUCAUAGUUGCCAACGACGACAACUACGCUCUGGCCGCUUAAGGCCUAGCCCCGAACCCACUUGUGCUCGUGCUCGUGGAUGUAGGGUCAUUAUCACGAGAUCGCCCGAAGCUGCCGCCUGUCGGCAAGGGUUAAAUCAAGCAGGCUGGUCCUUCGAUGCGCUUUGCACGCUGUGCUGUCGCGGGACGAGAUCUAACGGCGAGCUAAGCAUGUAGUACCGGGCGUCAAACGCCUUCGGACGCGGGUUCGACUCCCGCCACCUCCACCA